This 508-nucleotide ribosomal RNA is filed under the name uncultured bacterium. RNAcentral describes it as "partial 16S ribosomal RNA". It matches the Rfam family "Bacterial small subunit ribosomal RNA", at positions 28 to 507 of the family's 1533-position model. The record is from RNAcentral.
GACGAACGCUGGCGGCGUGCCUAAUACAUGCAAGUCGAACGCUUCUUUCCUCCCGAGUGCUUGCACUCAAUUGGAAAGAGGAGUGGCGGACGGGUGAGUAACACGUGGGUAACCUACCCAUCAGAGGGGGAUAACACUUGGAAACAGGAGCUAAUACCGCAUAACAGUUUAUGCCGCAUGGCAUAAGAGUGAAAGGCGCUGUCGGGUGUCGCUGAUGGAUGGACCCGCGGUGCAUUAGCUAGUUGGUGAGGUAACGGCUCACCAAGGCCACGAUGCAUAGCCGACCUGAGAGGGUGAUCGGCCACACUGGGACUGAGACACGGCCCAGACUCCUACGGGAGGCAGCAGUAGGGAAUAUUCGGCAAUGGACGAAAGUCUGACCGAGCAACGCCGCGUGAGUGAAGAAGGUUUUCGGAUCGUAAAACUCUGUUGUUAGAGAAGAACAAGGACGUUAGUAACUGAACGUCCCCUGACGGUAUCUAACCAGAAAGCCACGGCUAACUACGUG